This 1179-nucleotide long non-coding RNA is filed under the name Phasianus colchicus (ring-necked pheasant). RNAcentral describes it as "lncRNA (ENSPCLG00000017628.1)". Lineage: Eukaryota; Metazoa; Chordata; Aves; Galliformes; Phasianidae. The record is from RNAcentral.
UGAUGGGGCGGAAGGGCAGCGGAGGCGCAGGGCGCGGAGGUUAUGGGGUCGUUAUGGGGUCGUAUGGGGUCGUUAUGGGGCAGUUCUGGGGUGAUACAUGGGGUCAUGAUGGGGUCGUUAUGGGACAGUUCUGGGGCGAUGUAUGGGGUCGUUAUGGGGUCAUUCUGGGGCGAUGCAUGGGGUCGUUAUGGAUGCACAGCCAUAGCAGCAGCGCCCCCUGCAGGUGAUGGGGCGGAAGUGCAGCGGAGGCGCAAGGCGUGGAGGUUAUGGGGUCCUUAUGGGGUCCUUAUGGGUCCUUAUAGGGUCGUUCUAGGGCAAUGUAUGGGGUCAUUAUGGGUCGUUCUGGGGUCAUUAUGGAGCAAUAUAUGGGGUCCUUAUGGGGUCCUUAUGGGGUCCUUAUGGGGCGAUGCAUGGGGUCAUUAUGGGAUGCAGCGCCAUGGCAGCAGCGCCCCCUGCAGGUGAUGGGGCGGAAGGGCGGCGGCGCGGCGGAGGUUAUGGGGUCCUUAUGGGGUCGUUCUGGGGCGAUGCAUGGGGUCGCUAUGGGGCCAGGUAUGGGGUCAUUAUGGGGCAGUUAUGGGGCGAUAUAUGGGGUCAUUAUGGGGCGAUGUUGGGAGUCGUUAUGGGGUCCUUAUGGGGUCAUUCUGGGGCGAUGCAUGGGGUCAUUAUGGAUGCACAGCCAUGGCAGCAGCGCCCCCUGCAGGUGAUGGGGUGGAAGUGCAGCGGAGGCGCAGGGCGCGGAGGUUAUGGGGUCCUUAUGGGGUCCUUAUGGGGUCGUUAUGGGGUCGUUCUGGGGUGAUUAUGGGAUGCAGCGCCAUGGCAGCAGCGCCCCCUGCAGGUGAUGGGGCGGAAGGGCGGCGGCGCGGCGGAGGCGCAGGGCGUGGAGGUGGCGCUGGCGCCGGAGGAGCUGGAGCUGGACCCCAGCGCCAUGACGCAGAAGUACGAGGAGCGCGUGAGGGAGCAGCAGGCGCAGGUGGAGAAGGAGGACUUCAGCGACAUGGUGGCCGAGCACGCCGCCAAGCAGAAGGUCUGCCCCAUAGAUUACCCCUGCUGCCCCAGAGGUCAGCCCCAUAGUGCUGCCCCAUAGUGCUGCCCCAUAGUCUGCCCCAUAGUGCUGCCCCAUAGGUAUCCCAUAGAUUUGCCCUAUAACUUUCCCAUAGGUACCGCAUAGAUCUGCCCCAU